Non-coding RNA from Hydra vulgaris (swiftwater hydra), 382 nucleotides. Lineage: Eukaryota; Metazoa; Cnidaria; Hydrozoa; Anthoathecata; Hydridae. The record is from RefSeq and is a predicted model, not a curated record.
AGAGUUGGUUUGUGUUGAUUUAUGAUUGACAACAGAAAAUACAUUACUUCAACAAAUGUUAGCUUUUUACACAUAAAAGUUAUGUAAAAUCUCCUAUGAAAUGAUUUAUCUAAAUCUAAUUCCCUGCAGAAUGCCUGUUAAAAAGAAAAACUGAAGAAAUUUCGAAACUAGAUAAUUGCAACUGAAGAAGUAAAAACACCGAUAUUCAUGGUGUCGUAUCGAGGCUUUAGUUCUCCAGUAUUUAUUUUGUGUAAAAGUGGAUGAAAGCACAAAAGAAGCGAAACGAUAAACUUUAAAGCAGAGUUUUGUCAUGCGAUUAUGUUAGUGAUAUGAGGCAGAAAAUUACUAUCUUAGAACAGUUUUGCAUCAAAUCAUUGUUUAA